UUUAGUAGGUAUGCAGGCAAAAACUCUGUAACCUGGUCAGAUCAGAAAUGAAGCAGCCACAUCAGAAUAUUUUUGGGUUGCAUGCCUACUCUCAUU
Molecule: non-coding RNA, 96 nt
Organism: Wolbachia pipientis
Lineage: Bacteria; Pseudomonadati; Pseudomonadota; Alphaproteobacteria; Rickettsiales; Anaplasmataceae
Rfam family: Bacterial small signal recognition particle RNA
About the family: The signal recognition particle (SRP) is a universally conserved ribonucleoprotein involved in the co-translational targeting of proteins to membranes. Archaeal SRP consists of a 7S RNA and homologues of the eukaryotic SRP19 and SRP54 proteins. In most bacteria, the SRP consists of a 4.5S RNA and the Ffh protein (a homologue of the eukaryotic SRP54 protein).
Source: Rfam